This 497-nucleotide ribosomal RNA is filed under the name uncultured Flexibacter sp. RNAcentral describes it as "bacterial SSU rRNA". It matches the Rfam family "Bacterial small subunit ribosomal RNA", at positions 9 to 500 of the family's 1533-position model. The record is from RNAcentral. Lineage: Bacteria; Pseudomonadati; Bacteroidota; Cytophagia; Cytophagales; Flexibacteraceae.
GAGUUGAUCCUGGCUCAGGAUGAACGCUAGCGGCAGGCUUAACACAUGCAAGUCGAGGGGUAACAGGGAGUGCUUGCACUCUGCUGACGACCGGCGCACGGGUGCGUAACGCGUAUGCAACCUACCUUCUACAGGGGGAUAGUCCAGAGAAAUUUGGCAUAAUACCCCAUACGAUCAUUUAUUGGCAUCGAUAGAUGAGGAAAACUCCGGUGGUAGAAGAUGGGCAUGCGUCCUAUUAGUUAGUUGGUAAGGUAACGGCUUACCAAGACAUCGAUAGGUAGGGGUCCUGAGAGGGAGAUCCCCCACACUGGUACUGAGACACGGACCAGACUCCUACGGGAGGCAGCAGUGAGGAAUAUUGGACAAUGGAGGCAACUCUGAUCCAGCCAUGCCGCGUGCAGGAAGACGGCCCUACGGGUUGUAAACUGCUUUUAUACAGGAAGAAACGCCGCUACGUGUAGCGGUUUGACGGUACUGUAAGAAUAAGGAUCGGCUAA